Molecule: transfer RNA, 64 nt
Filed under: Marmota monax (woodchuck)
Lineage: Eukaryota; Metazoa; Chordata; Mammalia; Rodentia; Sciuridae
Description: tRNA.Ala
Rfam family: tRNA
About the family: Transfer RNA (tRNA) molecules are approximately 80 nucleotides in length.
Source: RNAcentral
GUGUAGUUCAGUGCUAGAGCACUUGCCUAGCAUGCAUGAGGCCCUGAGUUCAAUUCCCAGCACA